RNAcentral lists this ribosomal RNA (1452 nucleotides) under uncultured prokaryote. Its description in RNAcentral is "partial 16S ribosomal RNA". It matches the Rfam family "Bacterial small subunit ribosomal RNA". The record is from RNAcentral.
GAUGAACGCUAGCGGCAGGCCUAACACAUGCAAGUCGAGGGGUAACAGGUUUAGCAAUAAAUGCUGACGACCGGCGCACGGGUGAGUAUCGCGUUUGCAACCUACCUUUAACUGGGGCAUAGCCCGGAGAAAUUCGGAUUAAUACCCCAUAACAAUGAGAGAUCGCAUGAUUUUUCAUUUAAAGCUCCGGCGGUUAAAGAUGGGCAUGCGUGACAUUAGCUUGUUGGUGAGGUAACGGCUCACCAAGGCUACGAUGUCUAGGGGGUCUGAGAGGAUGAUCCCCCACACUGGCACUGAGACACGGUCCAGACUCCUACGGGAGGCAGCAGUGAGGAAUAUUGGACAAUGGACGAAAGUCUGAUCCAGCCAUGCCGCGUGCAGGAAGAAGGCCUUCUGGGUUGUAAACUGCUUUUAUUAAGGAAGAAAUCCAUCUACGUGUGAGGAAUUGACGGUACUAUAUGAAUAAGCACCGGUUAACUCCGUGCCAGCAGCCGCGGUAAUACGGAGGGUGCAAGCGUUGUCCGGAUUUACUGGGUUUAAAGGGUGCGCAGGCGGGCUUGUAAGUCAGUGGUGAAAUUCUGCCGUUUAACGGUAGAACUGCCAUUGAUACUGCAAGUCUUGAAUAUGGUUGAGCUAGGCGGAAUGUGUUGUGUAGCGGUGAAAUGCAUAGAUAUGACACAGAACGCCGAUUGCGAAGGCAGCUUACUAAGCCAUGAUUGACGCUGAGGCACGAAAGCGUGGGGAGCGAACAGGAUUAGAUACCCUGGUAGUCCACGCCGUAAACGAUGAUCACUCGCUGUCUGCGAUACACAGUAGGCGGCUGAGCGAAAGCAUUAAGUGAUCCACCUGGGGAGUACGAUCGCAAGGUUGAAACUCAAAGGAAUUGACGGGGGCCCGCACAAGCGGAGGAACAUGUGGUUUAAUUCGAUAAUACGCGAGGAACCUUACCUGGGCUUAAAUGUAGAUUGCAUAAACGGGAAACUUUUUUCCUUCGGAACUCUUUACAAGGUGCUGCAUGGUUGUCGUCAGCUCGUGCCGUGAGGUGUCGGGUUAAGUCCCAUAACGAGCGCAACCCCUAUCGUUAGUUGCCAGCGAGUCAAGUCGGGGACUCUAACGAGACUGCCGGUGUAAACCGCGAGGAAGGUGGGGAUGACGUCAAAUCAGCACGGCCCUUACGUCCAGGGCUACACACGUGUUACAAUGGCCGAUACAAAGGGCAGCUACCAGGUGACUGGAUGCUAAUCUCGAAAGUCGGUCUUAGUUCGGAUCGAAGUCUGCAACUCGACUUCGUGAAGCUGGAUUCGCUAGUAAUCGUGGAUCAGCAUGCCACGGUGAAUACGUUCCCGGGCCUUGUACACACCGCCCGUCACACCAUGGGAGUAGGUUGCUCCAGAAGUAGUUAGCCUAACCGCAAGGAGGGCGAUUACCACGGAGUGAUUCAUGACUGGGGUG